Molecule: transfer RNA, 76 nt
Filed under: Citrifermentans bremense
Lineage: Bacteria; Pseudomonadati; Thermodesulfobacteriota; Desulfuromonadia; Geobacterales; Geobacteraceae
Description: Geobacter bremensis tRNA-Pse
Source: RNAcentral
GUCUUCUGAGCCAGCUGGUUAGAGCACACGGCUCAUAUCCGUGUUGUCCGGGGUUCAAGUCCCUGCACCGCCACCA